UACUCAAUCUGUAAAUAUGAAGAAAGGGA
RNAcentral lists this non-coding RNA (29 nucleotides) under Rattus norvegicus (Norway rat). Lineage: Eukaryota; Metazoa; Chordata; Mammalia; Rodentia; Muridae. The record is from RNAcentral.